ACACUCCUGCGGGAGGCAGCAGUGGGGAAUAUUGGACAAUGGGCGCAAGCCUGAUCCAGCCAUGCCGCGUGAGUGAUGAAGGCCCUAGGGUUGUAAAGCUCUUUCACCGGUGAAGAUAAUGACGGUAACCGGAGAAGAAGCCCCGGCUAACUUCGUGCCAGCAGCCGUGGUAAUACGAAGGGGGCUAGCGUUGUUCGGAUUUACUGGGCGUAAAGCGCACGUAGGCGGACUAUUAAGUCAGGGGUGAAAUCCCGGGGCUCAACCCCGGAACUGCCUUUGAUACUGGUAGUCUUGAGUUCGAGAGAGGUGAGUGGAAUUCCGAGUGUAGAGGUGAAAUUCGUAGAUAUUCGGAGGAACACCAGUGGCGAAGGCGGCUCACUGGCUCGAUACUGACGCUGAGGUGCGAAAGCGUGGGGAGCAAACAGGAUUAGAAACCCCGGUAGUCC
Molecule: ribosomal RNA, 446 nt
Filed under: uncultured organism
Description: partial 16S ribosomal RNA
Rfam family: Bacterial small subunit ribosomal RNA
Source: RNAcentral